This 210-nucleotide ribosomal RNA is filed under the name Xanthomonas campestris. RNAcentral's name for it is "partial 16S ribosomal RNA". It matches the Rfam family "Bacterial small subunit ribosomal RNA", at positions 1271 to 1477 of the family's 1533-position model. The record is from RNAcentral. Lineage: Bacteria; Pseudomonadati; Pseudomonadota; Gammaproteobacteria; Lysobacterales; Lysobacteraceae.
AUCCCAGAAACCCUAUCUCAGUCCGGAUUGGAGUCUGCAACUCGACUCCAUGAAGUCGGAAUCGCUAGUAAUCGCAGAUCAGCAUUGAUGCGGUGAAUCAGUUCCCGGACNUUGGACACACCGCCCGUCACACCAUGGGAGUUUGUUGCACCAGAAGCAGGUAGNUAAACCUUGGGGAGGGCGCUUGCCGUGGUNGGCAGAAGAGUGCUU